Molecule: ribosomal RNA, 624 nt
Filed under: uncultured bacterium
Lineage: Bacteria
Description: bacterial SSU rRNA
Rfam family: Bacterial small subunit ribosomal RNA
Source: RNAcentral
AAUACCGGAUAGCAUACGAAUAUCGCAUGAUAUUUUUAUUAAAGAAUUUCGGUUAUCGAUGGGGAUGCGUUCCAUUAGUUUGUUGGCGGGGUAACGGCCCACCAAGACUACGAUGGAUAGGGGUUCUGAGAGGAAGGUCCCCCACAUUGGAACUGAGACACGGUCCAAACUCCUACGGGAGGCAGCAGUGAGGAAUAUUGGUCAAUGGGCGCGAGCCUGAACCAGCCAAGUAGCGUGAAGGAUGAAGGCUCUAUGGGUCGUAAACUUCUUUUAUAUGGGAAUAAAGUUUUCCACGUGUGGAAUUUUGUAUGUACCAUAUGAAUAAGGAUCGGCUAACUCCGUGCCAGCAGCCGCGGUAAUACGGAGGAUCCGAGCGUUAUCCGGAUUUAUUGGGUUUAAAGGGAGCGUAGGUGGAUUGUUAAGUCAGUUGUGAAAGUUUGCGGCUCAACCGUAAAAUUGCAGUUGAAACUGGCAGUCUUGAGUACAGUAGAGGUGGGCGGAAUUCGUGGUGUAGCGGUGAAAUGCUUAGAUAUCACGAAGAACUCCGAUUGCGAAGGCAGCUCACUAGACUGUCACUGACACUGAUGCUCGAAAGUGUGGGUAUCAAACAGGAUUAGAUACCCU